GGGGGUUUUUCCUUGUCUUCUGGCGAGUUAAUGGAUGUUGAGAGAUCUUUUCGCUGAGCAUCAAUAUUUUCUAGAAUCUCUGGUUGCAUUAUUAAGGCCAGGUGAAGAUACGAGAAUCGCUUCCAUUAAAAUUGACCUCAAAGGUACUUUCACGUUUACAAGGAGACAGAGGUUUCAUAAAGUUUAGCGUGUGGUAAAACUUUGGAUCAGUGAUUGGGAUGUCCAAACCCGAGUGAAGCUAAAGCAAAAUAGAGAUUUCAUUUGAAGAUUUUUGGCACUAUAAGAGAUUUGAAGCUUCUAUUCAUAGGUUUCGAGAUGCCUUGAGACUUGCUUUUUUUUAAAGAGGAUAUCCAUAUUUGAGGUCUUUUCAAGGUUCUUUGGUUUAACUGUAGGGGAUGAUGGUGAUUUUUGAUUUUGUUAUGACUCUUUUGCGAUUAAGCGGCAGGGGAAUGAUCUCAUCUAAAUCUCAGAGUAGAGAACCGUACUUGGAAGACUCUGCAGCUUUAUUCAACAGAUCUCUGAUUACUUCGGUGGUGUUGGGGAAAAAAGAAAUUGGUGGUUUCAGUUUCUGGAAAUGAGGAAUACAAGAACUCAUAAGUCAUAAGAGUGUGGUCAGAGAACUGAGGUUACAGUUUAAGGAAUGGAAGAAAUAUUUUGGAAGGAUCAUAGUGUUCACGGUGUCUAUAAUAACGGAUUGUUGCAGUCAGUUAUUCUCAUACAAUUGAGUUAAGCAAAAAGAGGCACUUACACUCUAUCUGGUUUAUUGAGGAUGAUUAGAAGUAACUGU
RNAcentral lists this long non-coding RNA (787 nucleotides) under Brassica napus (rape). RNAcentral describes it as "long non-coding RNA (BNAP_LNC016251)". The record is from RNAcentral. Lineage: Eukaryota; Viridiplantae; Streptophyta; Magnoliopsida; Brassicales; Brassicaceae.